This 76-nucleotide transfer RNA is filed under the name Azoarcus sp. RNAcentral's name for it is "tRNA-Met". It matches the Rfam family "tRNA". From Rfam's summary of the family: Transfer RNA (tRNA) molecules are approximately 80 nucleotides in length. Their secondary structure includes four short double-helical elements and three loops (D, anti-codon, and T loops). Further hydrogen bonds mediate the characteristic L-shaped molecular structure. tRNAs have two regions of fundamental functional importance: the anti-codon, which is responsible for specific mRNA codon recognition, and the 3' end, to which the tRNAs corresponding amino acid is attached (by aminoacyl-tRNA synthetases). tRNAs cope with the degeneracy of the genetic code in two manners: having more than one tRNA (with a specific anti-codon) for a particular amino acid; and 'wobble' base-pairing, i.e. permitting non-standard base-pairing at the 3rd anti-codon position. The record is from RNAcentral. Lineage: Bacteria; Pseudomonadati; Pseudomonadota; Betaproteobacteria; Rhodocyclales; Zoogloeaceae.
CGAGACGUAGUUCAGCGGCCAGAACGCCUGCUUCAUACGCAGGAUGGCGGUGGUUCGACUCCACCCGUCUCGACCA